CGCUAGCUACAGGCUUAACACAUGCAAGUCGAGGGGCAGCAUGGUCUUAGCUUGCUAAGGCCGAUGGCGACCGGCGCACGGGUGAGUAACGCGUAUCCAACCUGCCUUACACUCUUGGACAGCCUUCUGAAAGGGAGAUUAAUACAAGAUGUUAUCAUGAGUAAGCAUUUUCGCAUGAUUAAAGGUUUACCGGUGUAAGAUGGGGAUGCGUUCCAUUAGAUAGUAGGCGGGGUAACGGCCCACCUAGUCUUCGAUGGAUAGGGGUUCUGAGAGGAAGGUCCCCCACAUUGGAACUGAGACACGGUCCAAACUCCUACGGGAGGCAGCAGUGAGGAAUAUUGGUCAAUGGGCGAGAGCCUGAACCAGCCAAGUAGCGUGAAGGAUGACUGCCCUAUGGGUUGUAAACUUCUUUUAUAAAGGAAUAAAGUCGGGUAUGCAUACCCGUUUGCAUGUACUUUAUGAAUAAGGAUCGGCUAACUCCGUGCCAGCAGCCGCGGUAAUACGGAGGAUCCGAGCGUUAUCCGGAUUUAUUGGGUUUAAAGGGAGCGUAGAUGGAUGUUUAAGUCAGUUGUGAAAGUUUGCGGCUCAACCGUAAAAUUGCAGUUGAUACUGGAUAUCUUGAGUGCAGUUGAGGCAGGCGGAAUUCGUGGUGUAGCGGUGAAAUGCUUAGAUAUCACGAAGAACUCCGAUUGCGAAAGCAGCCUGCUAAGCUGCAACUGACAUUGAGGCUCGAAAGUGUGGGUAUCAAAACAGGGAUUAGAUACCCUGGUAGUCCACACGGUAAACGAUGAAUACUCGCUGUUUGCGAUUAUACUGCAAGCGGCCAAGCGAAAGCGUUAAGUAUUCCACCUGGGGAGUACGCCGGCAACGGUGAAACUCAAAGGAAUUGACGGGGGCCCGCACAAGCGGAGGAACAUGUGGUUUAAUUCGAUGAUACGCGAGGAACCUUACCCGGGCUUAAAUUGCAGAUGAAUUACGGUGAAAGCCGUAAGCCGCAAGGCAUCUGUGAAGGUGCUGCAUGGUUGUCGUCAGCUCGUGCCGUGAGGUGUCGGCUUAAGUGCCAUAACGAGCGCAACCCUUGUUGUCAGUUACUAACAGGUUCUGCUGAGGACUCUGACAAGACUGCCAUCGUAAGAUGUGAGGAAGGUGGGGAUGACGUCAAAUCAGCACGGCCCUUACGUCCGGGGCUACACACGUGUUACAAUGGGGGGUACAGAGGGCCGCUACCACGCGAGUGGAUGCCAAUCCCAAAAACCUCUCUCAGUUCGGACUGGAGUCUGCAACCCGACUCCACGAAGCUGGAUUCGCUAGUAAUCGCGCAUCAGCCACGGCGCGGUGAAUACGUUCCCGGGCCUUGUACACACCGCCCGUCAAGCCAUGGGAGCCGGGGGUACAAGAAGUGCGUAACCGCGAGGAGCGCCCUAGGGUAAAACUGG
Molecule: ribosomal RNA, 1436 nt
Filed under: uncultured organism
Description: 16S ribosomal RNA
Rfam family: Bacterial small subunit ribosomal RNA
Source: RNAcentral